AGAGUUUGAUCCUGGCUCAGGAUGAACGCUGGCGGCGUGCCUAACACAUGCAAGUCGAGCGGGGAUAUUGGAAGAUAUUCGUAUCGGAAGAUAUUCUAGCGGCGGACGGGUGAGUAACACGUGAGCAACCUACCUUUUGCAGGGGAAUAACAGUGGGAAACCACUGCUAAUACCGCAUAACAUCACGAGGGGGACAUCCUCUUGUGAUCAAAAGGAGAAAAUCCGGCAGAAGAUGGGCUCGCGUCCGAUUAGUUAGUUGGCGGGGUAACGGCCCACCAAGACCGCGAUCGGUAGCCGAACUGAGAGGUUGAUCGGCCACAUUGGGACUGAGACACGGCCCAGACUCCUACGGGAGGCAGCAGUGGGGAAUAUUGGGCAAUGGGGAAACCCUGACCCAGCAACGCCGCGUGAAGGACGAAGGCCUUCGGGUUGUAAACUUCUUUGAUCAGGGACGAGACAAAUGACGGUACCUGAAGAACAAGCCACGGCUAACUACGUGCCAGCAGCUGC
This 510-nucleotide ribosomal RNA is filed under the name uncultured bacterium. RNAcentral's name for it is "bacterial SSU rRNA". It matches the Rfam family "Bacterial small subunit ribosomal RNA", at positions 8 to 518 of the family's 1533-position model. The record is from RNAcentral.